Molecule: ribosomal RNA, 496 nt
Filed under: uncultured bacterium
Lineage: Bacteria
Description: partial 16S ribosomal RNA
Rfam family: Bacterial small subunit ribosomal RNA
Source: RNAcentral
GACGAACGCUGGCGGCGUGCCUAAUACAUGCAAGUUGAGCGCUGAAGGUUGGUACUUGUACCAACUGGAUGAGCAGCGAACGGGUGAGUAACGCGUGGGGAAUCUGCCUUUGAGCGGGGGACAACAUUUGGAAACGAAUGCUAAUACCGCAUAAAAACUUUAAACACAAGUUUUAAGUUUGAAAGAUGCAAUUGCAUCACUCAAAGAUGAUCCCGCGUUGUAUUAGCUAGUUGGUGAGGUAAAGGCUCACCAAGGCGAUGAUACAUAGCCGACCUGAGAGGGUGAUCGGCCACAUUGGGACUGAGACACGGCCCAAACUCCUACGGGAGGCAGCAGUAGGGAUCUUCGGCAAUGGACGAAAGUCUGACCGAGCAACGCCGCGUGAGUGAAGAAGGUUUUCGGAUCGUAAAACUCUGUUGGUAGAGAAGAACGUUGGUGAGAGUGGAAAGCUCAUCAAGUGACGGUAACUACCCAGAAAGGGACGGCUAACUACGUG